AUGGCGAUGAAGAAAUUCUCGUUGUUCAUGGGGCUGCUCAUGCUUGUGUUGUUUCCAGUGUUGUCGCGACAAGAUGGUUUUGAUCAACGGGUGGCAUUGCAAGAGACUAAGAGUAGUGUAGCCACAUUGACACUUGACGCCAAGCUCUCCAUAGCAGAAGCCUCAAGGCUCGGUAAUAGCAUUGACCCAGACACACUAUCUUCGGUGGUGAAGAUGCCUUGUACAAGAACAUCAGUGAGUGCAUUUCCAACAUCCCUGGUGAUAACAUUAAAUGAUACUCCCUCAAAUGGAUGUAUCUAG
This 300-nucleotide ribosomal RNA is filed under the name Triticum aestivum (bread wheat). Its description in RNAcentral is "partial small subunit ribosomal RNA". Lineage: Eukaryota; Viridiplantae; Streptophyta; Magnoliopsida; Poales; Poaceae. The record is from RNAcentral.